Long non-coding RNA from Daktulosphaira vitifoliae (grape phylloxera), 2183 nucleotides. RefSeq lists it as uncharacterized. The record is from RefSeq and is a predicted model, not a curated record. The transcript is spliced from 2 exons. Lineage: Eukaryota; Metazoa; Arthropoda; Insecta; Hemiptera; Phylloxeridae.
GUGAAAUUUAGGUGGAAAUUUUCACGUAUUGCGUUUCAGUUGGAAUACGCGUGCGCACAUUUGUGUGUUGUCAAAAUAAGUUGAAUUGAUGAUAAGGUCAUGAUAGUAAUGUAUAAUUAAUUAUAUUAUUUCUCAAUUGCGCAGACCAAACGAUUAUUUUAUCGCAAUUAUAAUAGUUAUUGUCUAGUGUGUAAUAGUAAAAUCGAUAAUAAGAAAACAACAACUACUCUCGAAACGCCAAACAUUGGCUAGUGGCUGCGUAUCGUCGCAACACAAACAAAUCAAAGUUAACAAACGUCUGCGUCCACCAUUCUUUUAUACAGUGAGAACACCAUAACGAAUAGACAUAAAAACGGACUGCACCUGCCUCACUGCGUAAGAUACCAUAGGCAUUGUUGAGGUAUCCAACGCGGGUUCUUUGUUUCAAAGCAAUCGUCGUACGCUCUGUUAUCGUUACAACGCCGAAAAAAAAAAAAUAACAGUUUUCUUUUGUGCUCAUCGCUGACGCCUUCACACCAUCGAUGGCUUCCGGACGUUGUGGCUAUUCAUUUCGUGAUUAUUCUAUCGUAUCAGCACAAUAAUAUUACAUCUUCGCAAAACAGAUCAUCAGCAAUAAACAGCGUGUUCAAUAGGAUAAUGUUCCCACGAUCGAUCGCUUUUACGGUGACCACACGUGGCGGCCAUUGCAACCGCCGCUAACACGACCAUUACGCAUUUGUUAUUAAGUUAAAUCGAAUCGACAGAGAAAACACGAGCACUAUUUGUACAGCCAUCAUUAUUGGGUUUGGUACAUUGCAAUUGCAUUUAUUUUUAAUUUCAUGGAGAUGGCAAUUUUAAGUAUAAAUCGAUUACAAUUAACAAUAAUAAACAAUUGUAGCGUUCUCUAUUUUUAUUGUCUGCAGUGAGUGAACCUAAUGUGAUAACAAGUUAACACGCAAUUCGAAAAUGAUCGAGUACGAUAAGAACAACGUCUGAAAUAAUAAUUUCAUUUCGUUUAGCACAAAGAGCAACCAUUUUUAUCAUACAGAGCGCAUACGUUACUUAACAAAAGCUUAUGUGACGAUAAUUUUUGUUAAGUAGGUGUUAAAUGCUGUCCUUGAUUUAACAACGGCCAUGCAAUCGUGUUAAACUUUUUUUUUUAUACUCGAGAUGAUCAAUACCAGGUGCGCUUACCAAAAGUAGUCAACGGCAAAAUUGCGAAAUUCAUGACGCAAUGACUGAACGUAGUAAAAAAAAAAAAAAAGUAAGAAUUCGAAUUGACAGGAGAUUUUAUUUAAAAACGUCCAAAGAAAAUUUUCCGUUUUAAGUAAACAAAAAUAAAUAGAUAAUUGAUUUAUUUUAAAUUCCAAGGCUUAAUAAAAGUUCUACAGUUGCUUACAUUAAUUCGUUACUGAAAUCAAAUUAUACAGCUGUUGUGUAUACAAUAAAGAGAAGAAAGAAAAAUGGCGAAAUAAAUAAGCACUAUCAUAAUAGGAAAUUAAUUAAAGUAUCACGUACACAGCGCGGCGGUAUUUCCCUGGAGUCACUAUUACCGAGAUGAAAAUGCAAAAUAUAAUGAGAAUCAACCAGAGAUUUACAAUGUUGUCUAACCAAAAACAACAUUAUUUAAUGUUUUAAAGAUUUUUUUUGAAAAAUUCAACAAUUAUACGAUACGCAUUGUAUUAUAAUAGGGUAUAUAGUUAAAAGUAAAUUUGAAACAUUCUUCGUUUGGUUUAAAGUGAACAUUUUUAUUUGUGCGAGGUCAUUUUGAGAAUACCAUUUUCGAGGUCAUCAUUUUAAAUCAAAGUUCAAAUACCAUGUGAAAACAUAAAAAAUCGUUUCAUGAAAAUCUCGACGUAACAAUAAAAAAUCGAGAAAAGCCUACAGAGUAACACAAUAAAAUCGUCAUGUGCGUUAAAAAAAAUAUUAUUCCAUUAUAUUCGAAGAAAGAAAGUAAAACCGUCACGGGGCGGAUUAACGGGCGUCGAAGGCCACCAAAGGAUCGAUAAAGUCGUGUGACUUUGAAAACAUUUACAGGAACUACGAAAGGGGUUAACACUAAUAAUAGUGAAAGGAUAUGUAAAUAUAAGCUUUCUUAAAAGGCAAGGGGAUGAUGACCCCUUAGUCUAUUAGUGUAUGGUAAUAUUUUAGCGUUGACGUGACGACCCAAUACUGUGCCUCAGCGAAAAGCACGUGACUGUGCA